Long non-coding RNA from Bombus pascuorum, 383 nucleotides. RefSeq lists it as uncharacterized. The record is from RefSeq and is a predicted model, not a curated record. Lineage: Eukaryota; Metazoa; Arthropoda; Insecta; Hymenoptera; Apidae. The transcript is spliced from 2 exons.
ACAAAGGGGACUGUGUGGAUAUCCUUACUGUUAAGGAAGUUGGGUCAAUUGUCACAUUGUCCUCGUCCAUGCAGAAUUUUCUGCGAUAAUAUUGGAGCUACUUCAUGAUCUAAGGAUGAGAUAAUCGCUGAGAGUUCCAAACACGUUUAAAUAGAAGUAAGACUGAAUAUUUUACCAUAGCUAUGGGGCUUGUAGAAACUAUGAUCAAAGGGGAGUGCUGAGGAAAACAUUAGGUUGGUAUGAUUACUAGUUCCUACAUGCUAAGUCGGUACGACUCUAACGACGCUUUUUUGUUUCUGGCGUCCGCCACGUGUUAAUUAUCUAAGUGUUUCCGGUGUGUUCAUAUGGCUGUACAUGAUGGUGAAAUACAGAAAGUAAAAACU